Molecule: ribosomal RNA, 654 nt
Filed under: uncultured archaeon
Lineage: Archaea
Description: bacterial SSU rRNA
Rfam family: Archaeal small subunit ribosomal RNA
Source: RNAcentral
GCCUAAAGCGUCCGUAGCCGGCUAUGUUAGUUUUCGGUUAAAUCCAUGUGCUCAACGCAUGGGCUGUCGAGAAUACUGCAUAGCUAGGGAGUGGGAGAGGUAGACGGUACUCGGUAGGAAGGGGUAAAAUCCUUUGAUCUAUCGAUGACCGCCAGUGGCGAAGGCGGUCUACCAGAACACGUCCGACGGUGAGGGAUGAAAGCUGGGAGAGCAAACCGGAUUAGAUACCCGGGUAGUCCCAGCUGUAAACUAUGCAAACUCAGUGAUGCAUUGGCUUGUGGCCAGUGCAGUGCCGCAGAGAAGUCGUUAAGUUUGCCGCCUGGGAAGUACGUACGCAAGUAUGAAACUUAAAGGAAUUGGCGGGGGAGCACCACAAGGGGUGAAGCCUGCGGUUCAAUUGGAGUCAACGCCAGAAAUCUUACCCGGAGAGACAGCAGAAUGAAGGUCAAGCUGAAGACUUUACCAGACAAGCUGAGAAGUGGUGCAUGGCCGUCGCCAGCUCGUGCCGUGAGGCGUCCUGUUAAGUCAGGUAACGAGCGAGAUCCCUACCUCUAGUUGCCACCAUUACUCUCAGGAGUAGUGGGGCGAAUUAGCGGGACUGCCGCAGUUAAUGCGGAGGAAGGAGGGGGCCACGGCAGGUCAGUAUGCCCCGAA